UUUUAUUCAUAAAAUAUUUUUAAUAAAAUAAUAAUAAAAUUAUUAAUAAAAAAUUGAAUAUAUAAUAAUAUAUGAUGAAAGGCAUAUAAAUAUAAAUAAAAAUGAAAAUCUCUAAUUAAUUAAAAAAAAUUAAUAAAAAAUAUAAAUUUAAAGAUUCCUAAAUAAGGUAACUUAUAAAACUAAUAUAUAUAUUUUAAUGUAUAAAAAAGAAAUAAAAAAAUGAAUUGAAAUUUCUUAAUAAUAAAAAAAAAAAAAAAAUUCUCAUAGUUAAUAAUGAAUAAAAAGAGAUAUUAACUAUUUAUUAAUAUUCAUUAUUAAAUAUUUUAAAAUAUAUUUAAUAGUAAUUUAAUAUAUUUUAAAAUAAAAUUAAUAAUAUUAAAAAUGUUAUACUUUAUAUGGUAAAAAAUAAAAAAAGUCCAGUAAUUUAAAAUUAUAAAUAUAUAAUAAAUUUAAAAUAAGUAAUUAUAAAAUAUUUAUGAAUAAUAUAAAUAAAAACUUUAUUAAGUAUAUUACAUUUAUAUAUUUAAUAGUUAAAAAGUACUGUGAAGGAAAAUAAAAAAAAAUUAAUAAUUUUUUAACAGUGGAAUAUAAAUAUAUUUUGACUACAUUCCUGUUGAAGAAUGAACUAGCGACUUAUAAAUAAUGGAUAAAUUAAAAAUAUAAAAUUUUAAUUAAAAUUAAUAUAAAUUAUAUUUUUAAAUUUUUAAUCAUUAUAUAUGUACCCGAAAAUAAGUGAUCUAUACAUAAUUAAGAUGAAAUUUUAUUAAUAUUAAAAUGGAGGUCUGAACUGACUGAUAUUGAAUAAAACAGCAGAUAAAUUAUGAUUAGAAGUGAAAUGCCAUUCAAACUUAUAGCUAGCUGGUUCUCCUCGAAAUGUGUUGAGGCACAGCAGUUUAAAUAAAUAAAAGGGAUUAUAAUAAUUAAUUAAUAUUUUUUUUAAUUAAUAAUAAA
This 951-nucleotide ribosomal RNA is filed under the name Thismia huangii. Its description in RNAcentral is "partial 23S ribosomal RNA". The stretch from base 579 to 951 matches the Rfam family "Bacterial large subunit ribosomal RNA", at positions 571 to 953 of the family's 2925-position model. The record is from RNAcentral. Lineage: Eukaryota; Viridiplantae; Streptophyta; Magnoliopsida; Dioscoreales; Thismiaceae.